UAUAAGAAAGAAAUAACGACCCGCUCCGAUAACACCCAGCUCCUGCACCAUCAUCAUAUAAUCGUCAUCAUUAGGUGUAGGGGGCACCCUAAAGGGUCAAAUUUAAAAAAGGCCCAUGAACGUUUGUUUGAAAUAACCUCUAGUUUAUGUGUAGGCCUACAACAUUUCCUGCUCGUCCGCUCAAAAUUGCCGACGCUGGACGCUUUUAAAAACAACAAGAACAGCAACAAGAACACCAGAGCUGAACUCCGAGCAGUAAGCCAGAAAUCACUUAACUGCAAUACAUUUUUAAUCUUGCAUUGGACACAGAAUCGCGUACGAGUUUUAUUCAUUUUACAACCUGACAGCGGUGACUAGGCACAUCUACUGAGAUCCGAAAACGGUGUUUCUGGAUUUCGAAAUCUAACAAUCGACGAGUUGUCACCAACAUCAUCUUCAUUGUUCAUACCAAGCGCAGUGAAAUAACAAAUUUCGAAGUCUUCACUAAGGAAUCGUGAUACGGCUGGUAUAAUUUUUCUUCUGGUAAAUACUCUGAGAAUCUACUAAAGUGGCUGAAUUCGAGCCUUACACCAAGCGACGCAAGACGACGGUCACUAUGGAGCCCACUGCCCCUGUACCAUCAAACGGAGUCGGUGGUAUCGUCGCUAUUGAAGAAGAGGUAUGUACAUAUUUAAGUUUAAAAAUUAAUCCACAACAUAGAUUACUUGUUGAAUGUCUUACAUACAUACAUUAACAUUACGCUAUUCGAAUUGAGACUGUUGAAUUCAUAGUGGAAUUAACUUGUGCUCCCGUGGGAAUUGGGGUUAAUUUCUAAACUAUCGUCUGCCACACGAUUCUAAUAAGUCGUCUGCCAAGUUUUGCAGAACCCUGUUGAUAAGGGAAGGUUGAAAGUGGUUUACCAAUAAUGUCCUGUAGUUUUGUCGGAAGCGCUUAAGUGUGUGUAUUGUUUUUAAAGUGAAAGAAUGUUACUGUUCAAACACAUGUGAUGAAAACAGAAAAAAAAAUAAUAGAAAACAAGCAACAAGCUGUACUUGGCAGUACAGUUUUAAAUGCAAAUUCAAAAGUAAAUAAACAAAAAAGUUUUGUCCAAUCAGAUAGAUGCUUCAGACUGGUCCAAUUGUAUCAAAGCUGUAUAAUUUAGAAAUAUAUUUUUCUUUG
This is a long non-coding RNA of Anneissia japonica, 1158 nucleotides long. RefSeq lists it as uncharacterized. NCBI's taxonomy places the organism in Eukaryota, Metazoa, Echinodermata, Crinoidea, Comatulida, Comatulidae. The transcript is spliced from 4 exons. The record is from RefSeq and is a predicted model, not a curated record.